This 419-nucleotide ribosomal RNA is filed under the name uncultured bacterium. Its description in RNAcentral is "partial 16S ribosomal RNA". It matches the Rfam family "Bacterial small subunit ribosomal RNA", at positions 338 to 754 of the family's 1533-position model. The record is from RNAcentral.
CCUACGGGUGGCAGCAGUGAGGAAUAUUGGUCAAUGGGUGGAAGCCUGAACCAGCCAAGUCGCGUGAGGGAUUAAGGCCCUGCGGGUCGUAAACCUCUUUUGCCGGGGAGCAGAGGUCCGGACGUGUCCGGGCCGGGAGAGUACCCGGAGAAAAAGCAGCGGCGAACGCCGUGCCAGCAGCCGCGGUAAUACGGAGGAUGCGAGCUUUAUCAGGAUUGAUUGGGUUUAAAGGGUGCGUAGGCGGGCAUUUAAGCCGGCGGUCAAAUGUCGGGGCUCAACCCCGGCCUGCCGUCGGAACUGGGUGCCUUGCGUGGGCGAGAAGUAUGCGGCAUGCGUGGUGUAGCGGUGACAUGCAUCGCUCUCACGCAGAACCCCGAUUGCGACGGCAGCAUACCGGCGCCCGACUGACGCUGCGGCAC